UACAUAGUAAGUUUCAUAUAAAUAAAAUCAUCUCAUAAGUAUUUAUCUUACAUUUGAACAAUACGCACUAACUUUUACAUGUGUCAUAUACAAUUUUAGUGGCUACAUGGCCCCUGAGUAUGCUUCACAGGGUGUCUUCUCUAUCAAAUCCGACGUCUUCAGCUUUGGUGUUAUUAUCUUUGAGAUCCUUAGUGGAAAACGGAAUUCUGGAAACCAACAAUAUGGAGAUUUCAUCAAUCUUCUUGGAUAUGUGAGAUUCUAUACAGAAACUUAAGCAUGCAUUUUUUUAAUUUGUUGUACAAUUUUCAAUUACUUAGGAAUUAGAAGUUAUAACACAACCUCCAAUUUGCAAACAGGCAUGGCAAUUAUGGGAUGAGGGAAGGUGGAUUGAUCUCGUUAGUUCAUCAUCGUUUUCCAAAAGUCACUCGACAAAGAUGAUGAGGUGCAUUAACAUAGCACUAUUGUGCGUACAAGAGAAUGCAGCCGAUCGACCAACUAUGGCUGAUGUUAUAGCUAUGCUAAGCAAUGAGGCUAUGAUCAUCGAUGAGCCUAAGCAGCCGGCAUAUUUCAAUGUGAGGGUAGGAAAUGAAGAGACAUCGACUGCUACAGAGUCAUGUAGUAUUAAUGAUAUGACUAUAUCAGCCACACUUCCUAGAUAAUAUUUUGUUCGUGUUACAUGGUUUAUAUGUCGCAGUCUAUAUUGAUGAUACUACAACUCUUGUACAAUUUAUAAGUUUAAGCCGCCCUUCCUAAUUGGUGUAUAGUCCUUCAUUAUAUUUUUGCAUACUUUUACCUAGAUUAAUUGUUUGUUUAUGAUAUGGGAAAUGAUUCUGACCACUCCGCCGAUCUAGGUGCGGGUGUCCGCCGCCUCUAGCACGUGACGUGUGUCCCAUGUGUGGCUCAUCCAUCCUUAUUCCCAGCAAAAUAGCAUCCACGCGUUUCUCCACCACUGAACCAUCUUCUUCCUUGUGAAUCUCCUUAAGUUCUUUCACAAUGAAGCAAACCUCUAACAUGACGGGUGGAUUUGUUUGUCAGUCUGAGCCUCUCGAUCUCCCCUUACUCCCGUGAUCACUGAUCGGUGUUCUUGUACGUAGUUGUGAGACCAAGCACUAAUUUUGGUUGCCUGGAGCGAUGUGGACGACGGUGGUUUGGCGCCUCGACGGCAGGCGGUGCAAAGGGCGACGGGGUUCAUGAUCGCUACCGCGCUCGGCGCAGCGGCGCUGACACACCACUACUACACCACCAAACGAAGCAAUCCGCUGACAUAGGGUCGCCCGCCGUUCAACACCGACACCGUCCUGUAGGAGCAACGGCGUCCAUGGCUGCCGCCCCAUCGAGCUCAACCACAACCGUCGGUGUUGCCGCAGCAAUAGUUCAUGCAACAUGAUUUCUAUUGCAGAAGCAACAUGACCUUUGUUGCAACACAAUAUGAUUUUUUGCAACAUGAUCUCUAUUGCAAAAUAAUUAUGCACUAUGACCAUGUUGCAAAAAAAACUGCAGACGUUUCUGCACGGUCUCUAUUUCAAUUUUUUUAACAUAAUCUCCGUUGCAAAUGUUUCUGCAACACUACCUAUGCCACAAAUGUUUCUGUAGCAUUAGCUCUAUUGCAAUGGUGAUCGACGUUGUUCAGCCGCUUGAUAACACUAGAUCUAGUGGCUCGCAACCCGGCCGAUUUUUUAAAAAGAUCAGCCGGCAGACGCAUAGUUAUGCAUGGUGUCCCAAAGGCAUGGUUUUGUUUCUCUUUAGCUGAUGUAGACAUGAUUUGGACCAUAUAGGAAGAGUAUGCAGAUAACGAACACUUGUAUCUUCUUUUCCAGAAGAUGGUGACCAAUUGAUAGAAACUUUGGCUGAUCUGGUAGAUAUUCUGUUUUUUUUCUUCUUUUCUUUAGUUAGAGAUUUAAGAGAAGAAAAAAACGAUUCUUCCACGGCAGCCACGACUUGACUUUUGAAAGUUCUGUUGGAUUAAUUUCCAUGGAAAUUUUCAUUCUUGAGAGUACUAAAGAAGGUGACAUCGAGAAUUGACAUUUGGACUAAUUCAUUGUUCUAUUCGGUCCUGAUUUUUCGUGUGGACACCCCUGAAUUCCACCUAAUCUUGUAAACCCAGUCCGUAAAAAGAAUUUGUACGAUGAAGCAUUACACCGUGAAGAAUUAUUUCAUCCAAGAAACAGGUUUUUUAGGGAAGUCCAAGAAACAUGUGACGCGGAUGAUUGAACGUUUCUAAUCUACGGGUUGUCGGACUGAUACUGAAAGCAACGCAAUGUUAUUUAAAGAAAAUUUGGGUUAGUAUGGGUCGGUUUGAGGGGGGAAAGCUAUAAUUCCUGAAAUAAUAAGCUUUGGGGGAAAGGCUAAUUGAGUUUAAUUUCGUAAACGGUUUUCUUAUGCAAAAAUGCGAAAUGUAGGACGAGCUCCAUGAUCACGUGCUAGGUGUCCUUUUCCCAUUAAUCUCCCUUUGAUGUUCACGUCCUUCCCACUGUUUCACAAUGUACAUAUUUUUUAAAAAUUAAUUUAAAUUGCUUACCACAUAUGGCACGUGGUCAUAAUGUACAUAUCUAAACAUGGCACAUAAAUGAAAAACCGACAUUGCCAAUGUAAUUAAAAAUAUAUCAUUUUGAUGACACCAGAAAGAAACAAUGAUAAGCAUGUGGAUAUUUACAAAACACCGGAAAAGUUUAGUCGCUGAUUUUUUUUGAGGAAAAGAAGUUUAGUUGCUAAAUAAAUAAACAAUAUUAAUGAAGUAAACAGGUGGCACCGAUGAUUUACGGCUUCAAAUCUAUGGACUGUUGGUCUGAUCGCUGAAAGCAACAAGCAAGCAAGGCAGUUAGGACAAGGAGAAAUCGAGCGGCCGGCCGUGCCGCGGUUAGGUAGCUAGCAUGCUGGGCGUCCUGCUGCUCCUCCUCCUGCUCAUGCCGCUGCCGGCGACUGCAACGGCACAGCUCUGUGGCAGCGGCGGCAGCUACGUAGCCAACGGCACCUACGAGUCCAACCUCGCCGCCCUCGCCUCCACCCUCCCCGCCAACGCCUCAUCCUCCCCGCAGCUCUUCGCUGCCGCCACUGCCGGCCAAUCCCCAGACGCAGUGCACGCGCUCGCGCUCUGCCGGGGCGACUUCGCCAACGACACCGCAUGCAGGGACUGCGUCGCCGCCUCCUUCCAGCACGCGCAGUGGACAUGCCCCAGCGACAAGGCCGCCACCGUCUACUACGAGUACGACAACGACCAGAGACCAGGCUGCGUGCUCGGCUUCUCCGGCGACGAUGGCUUCCUCAACCCAGCGGCCAAUCUCACCGGGAACGGCACUCUCUUCCAGGCGUGGAACACGGGGAACAUCUCCGGCGUCGCCAGUGUCAUCGCCGCCGGCGUCCACGAGCUGCUGACCGCCACGUCCGAGGACGCAGCCGCCAACGUGACGAGGCGGUACGCCACCGUGGUCAUGGAUUCUGCCCCGACGCUCUACUCUCUAGCGCAGUGCACGCCGGACCUGUCCGCCGGCGACUGCCAGGCGUGCCUCCAGCGGCUCAUCGGCAUGGUCAACGCCACCACGUCUGUGCGCCUGGGAGGACGGAUCUUCGUGCUGCGUUGCAACGUCAGGUUCGAGACUUUCAUGUUCUUCGAUCAUCCCAUGCGGCGGAUCAGUCCAUCGUCCAACGCUCCGGCUCCUCCCACAGGCAAGAGUACACUUUGGUUUCUGUCUCCAUCCAUACGUCGUUGCACAAACACAAUUGAAAGGUUACAAAUUCAUUUGCUGGUGGUGGUUCCAAUCUUGAUUUAGUUGGCAUGCUAUCAGUAAUUAGCUACUCCCUCCAUUUUCUAAGUAUAAGUCUUUUAAGAAAUUUUACUAAAGACUACAUAUGGAUGGAUGGAUGUAGACGUAUUUUAGAGUGUAGAUUCAUUUAUUUUGCUUUGACAAUAGAUUCAUUCAUUUAUUUUGCUCCGUACGAUAAUUUGUGGAUGUCGAAUUUUAAAGGUCAUGGAACGCAGCCUUGGGUAAUUGCUAUAUCUGUAGCUGCUCCACUAGCACUGGUUGCUUUCUGCGUCACUGUCUACUGUCGUCGCCUCAGAGGAAGAAAGAACAAAAAUGGUGGGUAAAUUAGUUUCUGAAAUGCUACUACGUACUAUGUAGUAGUACUCCGCUAAAUAUAAAGAGAUUUUUGAUUGCUUGGAGGUUGCUCACCACAUACUCCAUGCAUGUGGUAAAUAUAAAGAGAUUUGAUUAAGGGGGGCGCAUAUUGGGUCAAUUCCCAAUUUUUCAGGUGCAAAGAUACUACGAGAAAAACGUAGUUACAAGUUGCAAGAAGGAGAUCAAGAACUAGUAUGGGAUAUGGAAGCAGGAUUAUCCGGCUUCACAGUUUAUGAUUUUCACGAGAUAUUGGAAGCUACAAGUAACUUUUCCGAAGAAAAUAAACUUGGAGAAGGAGGAUUUGGCCCUGUAUAUAAGGUACAUACAUGAUAUAUCAUACUUUAUAUAAUCCUCACGCAUUCUCUAAUCAAGAGAAACAAGAAUAUGCUGUAUGUAUUUGAUUUUUUCAUACAAUUAUUUGAAACUGUGGAGGAAUAUUAAUUGAAAUUGUGAUUAAUUUCCUUGUACUCAUUACUUGGUAGUUUUGAAUUAAAUUGUGCACCAUAAUGUAACACGAUUGAGGCAUAAUAUCAUCUUUGUUUCCCUAGGGUCAUUUUCUUCAAGGAUUGGAGAUAGCAGUCAAGAGACUUGCUUCACAUUCAGGACAAGGUGUCUUAGAGUUCAAAAAUGAAGUUCAGCUCAUAGCCAAACUUCAACAUAGAAAUUUGGUUAGACUCUUGGGAUGUUGCUCCCAAGGAGAGGAAAAAAUAUUGGUCUAUGAAUACUUGCCAAACAAAAGUUUGGACUUCUACAUAUUUGGUACAUAUUUGCAUUCCCAUAUUUAUAUAUAUUGUUUAACAAUGAUGCUUGAAACAUGAUAGAAAAUAUGUUACUAUAUAUUCUUUAGAAAUCCUAUGUGCGUAAUUGCACUCUCUUGAAAUUUGAGUGUGCAAAUUUUAUCAUUUACAUGUUUUUCUCUCCAUGUAUUAACAUUUAGAUCAUGUGCAGAUGAAUGUAGAAAAGCUUUAUUGGAUUGGAACAAACGUCUUGCAAUAAUUGAAGGAAUAGCAGAAGGACUUCUUUACCUACAUAAGCACUCUCGUUUGCGUGUGAUACAUCGAGAUCUUAAACCAAGCAACAUUCUCUUGGACGAUGAAAUGAAUCCUAAAAUUUCAGAUUUUGGCCUAGCAAAAAUAUUUAGCUCAAAUAACACGGAAGAAGACACCACAAGAAGAGUGGUUGGUACUUAGUAAGUUCUAUAUCAAUUAGAUCGCGUACAAAUAUUUACAUAUACUAGUCAGCCAUAUAGUAACUUGACGUAUAUAUUGCAUCAUUUUAGUGGUUACAUGGCUCCGGAGUAUGCCUCCGAGGGCCUAUUCUCCAUCAAAUCCGAUGUAUUCAGCUUUGGUGUCUUAAUUCUUGAGAUCCUUAGUGGGAAAAGGAAUUCUGGUAGCCAUCAAUGUGGAGGUUUCAUCAACCUCCUCGGAUAUGUGAGUUCAUAAACACCCAUAUAACAUGAAGUUAAAUGCUUUAUUAACCUAUAGUAUUGUACCUAACUAUAUGGUGAAAUUGCAUAUAGUCUUGGCAGUUAUGGGAUGAGGGAAACUGGAUUGAUAUUGUUGAUGCGUCAUUGACUCCCAAGUCUCCCCAGCAGAAAUGAUGAGGUGCAUCAACGUCGGACUACUAUGUGUGCAAGAGAAUGCGGCUGAUCGACCGAACAUGUUGGAUGUUACUGCAAUGCUAAGCAGCAAGACAAUGCUCCUGCGGGGGCCAAAGCACCCGGCAUAUUUCAACCUAAGGGUAGGCGAUGAAGAGGAUUCCUUUGCUACCCACUCCUACAGUGUUAAUGAUAUAACCAUAUCUGUAGCAACUCCUAGAUAGUUUUUCUGUGUCAUGUGUUUUUUCACUGAGCCAAUGCAGAAUCAGUGGUAUAGUACACGUUGUACACCACAUAAUUUUGAGGGUUAUGUAAGCACAAUUGCUUCUCUAAAUCAUAUAGGAUUGAAGUGCAUUUGCAGUGUGGAAGUAGUCAAUCAAAACCAUAAUUGUGUUUGUUAUAAGCUUUCGUAGAAAUAUAGUGCGAAUGGAUCAAAAUAUUAAUUCUAAAAACUAUUAUCAACCUCCUCAGAUAUGUGCGAAUGGAUCAAAAUAUUAAUUCUAAAAACUAUUAUCAACCUCCUCCGAUAUGUGAAUCAAGACCCAAAAGUUUUGGCUUUAUUACAAACAAGGCCAAAAUUUGGACAAGUCGGGGCUAGAAAUUUCGACAGCAUAACGCGUCGUAAAGAAUCCAAAUCAACAAGAAUGGUGCAGCGUUCAUUCCAAAAUUAAUUCAUGCAAUCCAAGUGCAAGUCAGUCAAUACACUGGAUGAAACAGUCCAUAUCAUCAUCCUAUCAAAUCAUUUCCCCGACACCACCACCACGAAGCCUAGGGCUAAAACUAAACGGUUAUAAAUAACGCUAAUGAACACUACCUUGAAAAAAAUACCUCAAAAAAAGGCCAAAUACCACACAUCUUGAGUUUCUAUUUUUUUUUUCUUAUUAACAAAUAAAAAUUGACUUCAAUUUUUUUUUUGAGGGAACUACGGCGGGUUGAACUCAUUUUAUUGAUUUUUGUUUAACAGAGUAUUUACAAAGAAGGCGAAAGAGAGAAAGAGAAAUUGACUUCAAUUUAACACCACCACCCCAUUGAUUCGGCUCAUACAAAGGAACUAUGGGCGAUUAGUUGAUACGAGAAACAAGAGAGGUUACCUAAAUCACCCAUCAACCAGUCACGGAGAUGGAGCAGAACAGGAUGACAAAAUAGGAGGGCUGCUCCGAUGAUGCGAGAUGUACCAAGAUACAAAGCGAGAUGAUCUGGAAAGUCCGAGCUCCGGGCGUCCGGUCUGUCGAGCAGGGAAACGCGUGG
Molecule: long non-coding RNA, 6960 nt
Filed under: Triticum aestivum (bread wheat)
Lineage: Eukaryota; Viridiplantae; Streptophyta; Magnoliopsida; Poales; Poaceae
Description: long non-coding RNA (TAES_LNC014158)
Source: RNAcentral